UACAGAGGUCUCAAGCGUUGUUCGGAUUCAUUGGGCGUAAAGGGUGCGUAGGCGGCGCGGUAAGUCGGGUGUGAAAUCUUGGAGCUUAACUCCGAAACUGCAUUCGAUACUGCCGUGCUUGAGGACUGGAGAGGAGACUGGAAUUUACGGUGUAGCGGUGAAAUGCGUAGAUAUCGAGAGGAACACCUGCGGCGAAGGCGGGUAGCUGGGCCGACACUGACGCUGAGGCGCGAAAGCCAGGGGAGCGAACGGG
This 253-nucleotide ribosomal RNA is filed under the name uncultured bacterium. RNAcentral's name for it is "partial 16S ribosomal RNA". It matches the Rfam family "Bacterial small subunit ribosomal RNA", at positions 524 to 776 of the family's 1533-position model. The record is from RNAcentral.